Molecule: ribosomal RNA, 228 nt
Filed under: uncultured bacterium
Lineage: Bacteria
Description: partial 16S ribosomal RNA
Rfam family: Bacterial small subunit ribosomal RNA
Source: RNAcentral
CGGGUGAGUAAUGUCUGGGAAACUGCCUGAUGGAGGGGGAUAACUACUGGAAACGGUAGCUAAUACCGCAUAACGUCGCAAGACCAAAGAGGGGGACCUUCGGGCCUCUUGCCAUCGGAUGUGCCCAGAUGGGAUUAGCUAGUAGGUGGGGUAACGGCUCACCUAGGCGACGAUCCCUAGCUGGUCUGAGAGGAUGACCAGCCACACUGGAGCUGAGACACGGUCCAG